Non-coding RNA from Oryza glumipatula, 199 nucleotides. Lineage: Eukaryota; Viridiplantae; Streptophyta; Magnoliopsida; Poales; Poaceae. The record is from Rfam.
AAUAAAUACAGUUUUACAUUGUUCAUAUCCAAUGUUUAACCGUUCGUUUUAUUUAAAGUUAUUUUAUGAUUAGUAUUUUAUUAUUAUCAGAUGAUAGAAUAUGAAUAGCACUUUAUGUGAUCGGCUAAUUUAUUUUAAAAUUUUUCAAAUAAGACGGGCACUCAAACAUUGGAUUCGGAUACCCACAGCUGCAUUAUUU